This 2443-nucleotide long non-coding RNA is filed under the name Nicotiana benthamiana. RNAcentral's name for it is "long non-coding RNA (NBEN_LNC003153)". The record is from RNAcentral. Lineage: Eukaryota; Viridiplantae; Streptophyta; Magnoliopsida; Solanales; Solanaceae.
UUUCUCUGUAUCGUCUCCAAGAUCAGAGACGACCCCUCCCCAAACCCUAGCAGCCGCCACCCCUCCCCUUCACCAUAAACCCGGCAGAAAUGAUUCUAGUGACCACCAAAAACACACCCAUGAACCCCCAGACCAUCCCAUCUAUGAAUCCACAGCCCUUUCUUCUCGAAUUAUUACCAAACGUCUCGAAUCUUCAUCUGAAGAAUCGUACCAAAAACUUAGUUCACCCAAUCUCCCCCAAAUCAAAACCCAACGUCCACCUGCCUUCCCUCGUCCCUAAACCAUCAACAGAUUCCCUCGAAUCUCGUUAAAUUUUCUCUAAUCUUAGAUCAAAGUUUGACCCCAAACCCUAGUUCUUUCAAGCUUGAGGUUCAGUGGACAGUUGAAGAUCUGUAGACCAAAUUGGAUUUUAAUCGUGUGUUUUCACAUUGAAAACACACGAUUAAAGUCCGCUUUGGUCCAGAUCAAAGGAUCCAAGAAUGAGUUCACGAUGGGGUCCGUUUUGGCCCCAAAUCCAAAGGUUGGAGGUUCGAACCGGAUCCUCAUUAAAACUGUAGGUUUCCGCUUAUUUCUCUUCUCUGUUAGUUUUGUUGAGUAAAUUCAUCUUCUACCCCUUUCUUUAGAAUCGAAUGCUUUGUGUUUGUUCUAUAUUUUGUUUCUUUUUUUUAUUAUUUUUUACAUCGAAUUAUUCAGCGUCCAUAAUGCUUUGUAUAAAACCACAACUACUGCUGUAAUUAUUUAAUGGUUAUUACUUGUUCAAAUUGGCCAAGUUUGCUCUUUGUUGUUCAUCAUUUGUUAGGUUCCUUCCUCAUUUAUAUUUGUCUAAGCUAAUUAGGAUUAGUUUCCAAUAUGGUUAGCUUAUUCUCUAUGUCUGUGUGAAUCAGCUUGACUUUAAUAGUUCAAUACAGGUUGCCUUGAAUCAGUCGUUUUAUUUGGAUACUAUUUGUAACUAAUCUGAGUGCAAGUUCUAGCUGAUUUUGCUGAAUUGAAUCUCAAUUAUUGUCCUGUAUUGGAUUCGGUUUUGAUGUGCUUGUUAGGUAUCGGUUCAUCUUGCUUGGUAGUUAAUUGAUUAGCUGAAUUGGUUAUAGCUGAUAGGUUGUGUACAAAUUCAAGGGAUGGAAUUAGGAUAGGAAUUCCAGGCAACUCAAGGGGUAAUUUGGUAUUCGAAAUGAGUUAGUAGUCUGUCAGUAGGAUAGGCAUUAAACUAAUUCAAAUUAACUAAAGUAAAAAAGGGAUCAGUUAGUGGAAGGGACAGCUUUUAGAGCAUCUUUAGAGAUUGGAAAUUAUAAAUAGUAGGUAAUAAUGAAAAGCUAAAAAGGUUCACAUAGGGAGGUAUAUUAAAAAGCUGGAAAGAAAAAGAAACAUAGGGGUAAUAAUGAGAGAUCCUUCUUACAGCUGUAAAAAAAGAGGGGGGGCGGCACGAAAGGGGGUCUGCUUUGGGUAUAAAUUAGAGAUGAGUAGAGAUAUUAAGAGGAACUUGAAGAGGCAGUAAGAGUGGGGAGAGUAAAAAACACAUAAAAAAGAAAGGAGUCCAGACCUUAGAUAGAUAUAGACACUAAGGAAGUUCUCAGCUCAGGAAUUCCCCCAGAAGCUCUCCCUCUUCAUUUUUUUUAAAUCUAAGUUUGAAUUCCAUCUUCCAAAACACCAAAAACAAAUAAAAAAUCAAAAAAAUCUCUACUGUUUCAUUGAGAAACUGCAAUCUGAUCCUUAUUUCCAUCUAGCCUCUUCACAUUUUGUAGUUUUAGUUGAGUUUUGGGCUUAUUGAAGUAGUGUGGUGAUGUUCAAGUGUUUUAGUUUAAUCUGCUGGUUUAAUUUGAGUUUUGAUCCUUCCUGGGAUUUUAUGUAUUCAUUCUCUGGGCUGUUUCCUAUUGUUCUUACUACUGGAAAUUGUACUUUGUUAUGAUUGCUGCUGAUUAUUUGCCAUAGCUGACUUCUUCUCCUUCUUCUGAUUAAAAUUCCAUUUCCAUGUAUUGUCCUUGUAUGAACUACGAAGGAUCCAUGUAAUUGGAUUUGAAGAUCAAAUGAAGAAAUUUGUUCGAAUUGGUUGCUAGAAUUUAUUUGAUUUAUGUUUGGUUUCUAUAUGUGAAAUAGUCCUUUUUAGGUGAAUGUUGUACUCGUGAUUGAAGAGAAUUUUUGUUAUAAUAGACAAGUGAUAAUGGCUGUUAAUUGAAUUUUAGCUAUAGAAACGGAGUAGUAACAAUGGUUUAGAGUAGCUUGAAUCAAUUUGAAAACAUUCAGUUUCCUUACGUAAUUAAGUCGUGUGUCUAGUUUGUUAUUCACCUUUGGUAAACGCUAUGAUUUGGCCAGUAGUUAAACAGGUAGUUGAUCAAUACUUUCAUCGAUUCAACUAAGGGAAUAUGGUCCUUCAAAUGUGAAGGCUACAACUUUCUCCCAAUGAGUAGCCCAGGCCCGUUACUCAUGCUCGUGCACGUUUGGCGUGGGA